UACGUAGGGUGCAAGCGUUGUCCGGAAUUAUUGGGCGUAAAGAGCUUGUAGGCGGUUUGUCGCGUCUGCUGUGAAAUUUCGGGGCUCAACCCCGAACUUGCAGUGGGUACGGGCAGACUAGAGUGUGGUAGAGGAGACUGGAAUUCCUGGUGUAGCGGUGAAAUGCGCAGAUAUCAGGAGGAACACCGGUGGCGAAGGCGGGUCUCUGGCCCGGUACUGACGCUGAGGUGCGAAAGCGUGGGGAGCAAACAGG
RNAcentral lists this ribosomal RNA (253 nucleotides) under uncultured bacterium. RNAcentral's name for it is "partial 16S ribosomal RNA". It matches the Rfam family "Bacterial small subunit ribosomal RNA", at positions 524 to 776 of the family's 1533-position model. The record is from RNAcentral.